UCGCGAUAGCAAAGGACGAGAAUUGGUGCGAAUCCCCCGGCUGCCCCAGGAAAGUGGCGGAGGCGAGCAGUGCCGAGUCGCGCGCGCUGCCGCGAGUCUGGCACACGGGACGCCCGGGAGCCAAACCUUGUGCCCGUGAGCGUCUAGGAAGAGUUCGCUGCCGUCUGGACGAGUACCGAAGCUGGUCUAGUUCUACGAUGCCUCCGUGGCUCGCAACGUGGUCUGUUGACUACCGGGUCUGCGCAAUGGGAGGGAGGCAAGGGAGACCCGAACAGACGUCAUCGCGAGAACUGAGCGGCUGCGCUCUUCCAAUCAGGAGUCCGGGGCGGUGGUGACGUCACCGGGAGCGGGUGUUAGCGAGCGGGUUUGGGUAGAUGGCGGCUGUAAAUAGAGCGCGCGGGGUACGCUCGCGGCGCGGGGCAAGCCCGCCGCUGGGAGGCCCUUCCGUCUCGGUCGUCUUAGGGCAGUGUAGACCUGGAGUACCUGGGCAGCACUUUAGCCUCCAUCCGGGCAUUCCACCCUCCUCCCACGCGGCCCGCCCAGCCCGGAGAAGGGGAGAAAACCGCCCCAGGGCUGUGAGAACCGGCGACCGUAGGGCCUGCGAGAUGGGAUCCUUCGGGCCUUACGCUGAAGCCACGCCAAGAGUUUUGGCUAAAACGAGAAGCGCCAAAAUGAACUAACGCGUGUCGUGUCCCGAGUGCGUUUGUUCGUUCGUCAGAUGGUGAAUGAGCGCGAACUGUCCGAGCUCCUGCCAGGCGGGGUGGCCUAGAAGUCAUCAGACGAUUCAUUACCUUAGAAAGAAAUCAGUUUCUCUGGGUCAGAAAUUUAGCAGCAUUGUGUGUGGCUGAGUGCUACUGGCCAGGAGUCUCCCAUGAGCCUGCAGUCACCGGAAGAUCUGGCUGGGGCAAGAGGAACCACUUCCAAGAUGACUUAAUCCAGCGUCUCUGGUUGUUGACAGGGGGCCUCAAUCCCUUACCAUGUGGGCUUCUCUUCAGGCUGCUUAAACAGUCUCAUAACAUGGUGUCAAGCCUUCCCCAGAAUGAGCACAGGAAAGCAAGGUAGAAGCUUCGAUGACAUUGAUGGCCCAGCCACGGAAGUUACACACCAUUUCAACAACAUUCUGUAGUCACACAGGUUAGCUCUAUUCAUUGUGAGAAGGGUUGACAGAGAAGUGGAUCAGGAGGCCAAUGUAAUUGGGGAGUACCAUUUUGGAGGCUGGCUACCACAGUAUUAGAACACAUCUGCUGGGUUUUCCUCAAUUCUUGAAAUGUACUAGCUAAGGAAUCACGACUACGAAAUAAUUUUUUUUUUAAGAUUUAUUUAUUUAUUCAUGAAAGAGAGAGCAAGAGAGAGGCAGAGACACAGGCAGAGGGAGAAGCAGGCUCCACGCAGGGAGGCCAACGUGGGACUUGAUCCCAGGACUCCAGGAUCAGGCCCUGGGCCGAAGGCAGGUGCUCAACCACUGAGCUGCCCAGGUGUCCCAGAAAGGAAAAUUUUAGAUGCUUUUCCAACUUUCUCUUUUUCAGCUGUUCUGAUCCCUUCCCGAAUUAAGAGCACACAUAGCGGCUUGUCUUCCAUGUGACACUCCUUUUCCUUCCCCAUACACCAGGCUCCAGCUGGAGUGGCCUUCUCAAUAGUCCCUGAAAGCACUGCUCCAUCCAUGUGCAUCCAUCCAUCCAUCCUCUCUGCUGAGAGGGCCUUUCUUAUUCUCACCUGAGAAACUGCAGCACACUUGAAGACCCGUCUCAAAUGUCACCUCCUCAAUGAAACCUGACAAGAAAUCCCUGUUCUGCCAUACUUAGAUUUUUGUCUCAGUUAUAACAAUGUCAUUUUGUCAUUUUGUCAGUACAUGCUAGUUAUUUGUAUGCUUGUCAGUCUUCCUACAAGUCCUUCCAAGACAGGGACCGUCUUUAGACAGUGCCUAGUGCAGUGCUGAGCGUAAAUAGCUCAGCAAAUAUUUGUUGGGUUAGGGUAAUGGCUAUCGUGUUCUUUACAGUGUUAAUGGGCAGUGGUGCUUAUUUUACCACCAUGUGGCAACAAACUAUGGAAUUAUUUCUACCUUUGAAUAAGGAGUUCAGCCAGGAUGAAUAUUCACCAAAUUGUAGUCUGUGGUUUUUUGGGGAGUAGAAUUACAGGAGGCCCUCAUUUUCCAUGCUAUUUCGGCAUUGUUUGAAUAAUAGUAUGUUUUUUCAUGUGGGAUGUAGCACUCAUACAGGAAAUAAGUAUUUACAAAGAAAUUUUACCUUAUUAACUUCCUACCCAAAAGUAUGUUAGAAUAACUUGUUGACUCAAAUUAGUUAAUAUACAAAUAGAAUACAUUCAAAUAGAAGAUUACUUUGUGAAAAUUGAGCAAUUUUAUUCACACAGUGCUCAGUACUGCACUAGGCAGUAAUCCCAACUCUGGAAUAUGUUGGUAUUUUGAUAGGGAUCGCAUUAAAUCUAUAGAUUGCUUGGGUGGUAUGGACAUUUUAAUAAUAUUGACUUUUCCAAUCCAUUAGCAUGGAAUAUCUAUCUAUUUGUGUCAUCUUUAGUUUCUUUUAUCAGUGUUUUAUAGUUUUCAGAGUACAGGUAUUUCCUUGGCUAAGUUUAUUCAUAGGUAUUAUUUUUGGUGUAAUCAUAAAUGGAAUUGUUUUCAAUAUCGUGUUUUUAAAAUUCAGCAUUAUUGCUGCUUAUGCCUUUUAAAUCAAAAAACCAAAUAUUUAAAAGAAAAUUUAAGUCAGGAAUGAAGUAAUAAGGAAAAAUAUUUAUAAAAUAAUAUGACCUAAAAAAAAAUGAAAAUAAAUAAAUAAAUAAAAUAAUAUGACCUAAAAAUAUUGGAACAGAAAAUUAUGUAUACAUUAUGUUUACAACUUCAUAAAAAUAUAGAUACUGUGAAUAAGGGUUGGAAGAGAAUGUGUUUGGAAAAGUAGUUUAUUAAGCUGGUAAGAUUGAACAUUUUUUCUUCUUAAACUGCCUUUAAUGUUGUAACACUGGGUUAAUAAACUUUUCUUUUAAGGCCUGUUUUUGUAAUCACCAAAAAGUUAACAUUUUUUACUAUUUGAA
Molecule: long non-coding RNA, 3042 nt
Organism: Canis lupus familiaris (dog)
Lineage: Eukaryota; Metazoa; Chordata; Mammalia; Carnivora; Canidae
Exons: 2
Source: RefSeq, a predicted model, not a curated record